GACGAACGCUGGCGGCGUGCUUAACACAUGCAAGUCGAACGGAAAGGCCCUGCUUUUGUGGGGUGCUCGAGUGGCGAACGGGUGAGUAACACGUGAGUAACCUGCCCUUGACUUUGGGAUAACUUCAGGAAACUGGGGCUAAUACCGGAUAGGAGUUCCUGCUGCAUGGUGGGGGUUGGACAGUUUCGGCGGUUGGGGAUGGACUCGCGGCUUAUCAGCUUGUUGGUGGGGUAGUGGCUUACCAAGGCUUUGACGGGUAGCCGGCCUGAGAGGGUGACCGGCCACAUUGGGACUGAGAGACGGCCCAGACUCCUACGGGAGGCAGCAGGGAGGAAUAUUGCACAAUGGGCGGAAGCCUGAUGCAGCAACGCCGCGUGCGGGAAGACGGCCGUCGGGUUGGAAACCGCUUUCGCCUGUGACGAAGCGUGAGUGACGGUAAUGGGUAAAGAAGCACCGGCUAACUACGUG
Molecule: ribosomal RNA, 468 nt
Filed under: uncultured bacterium
Lineage: Bacteria
Description: partial 16S ribosomal RNA
Rfam family: Bacterial small subunit ribosomal RNA
Source: RNAcentral